CCAAUGCACUAGACACUUACAGCUCCAACACUGGGCAAAGCACUCCACUGCAGGUUUUCAUCAUCCCGUGUUAUCAAGAGGAGUCAUUUUUGUAUCACGUUUGCGAUGGCAAUAAUUUGAUUGAAUCCCUGCCACCAGCUCAACUAUUUUAUUCCAAAACACCUCUGUUCUUCUAUACUUCUUCAUUUCUGACAUUCCAAUUAUCUUUGCAUCAAUCAUUAAAAUCUAUUAACAUUUCAUGUGUUUUUUUAUGGAUUAUCUUAUGCUGCAG
RNAcentral lists this long non-coding RNA (271 nucleotides) under Dicentrarchus labrax (European seabass). Its description in RNAcentral is "lncRNA (ENSDLAG00005016799.2)". Lineage: Eukaryota; Metazoa; Chordata; Actinopteri; Moronidae. The record is from RNAcentral.